GGUUUGGCUCAAUCAGUAAGAGCAUGAAACUCUUGCUCUCAGGGUUGUGGGUUUGAGCCCCACAUUGGGCA
Molecule: non-coding RNA, 71 nt
Organism: Podarcis lilfordi (Lilford's wall lizard)
Lineage: Eukaryota; Metazoa; Chordata; Lepidosauria; Squamata; Lacertidae
Source: the annotation of a GenBank genome assembly